This 490-nucleotide ribosomal RNA is filed under the name uncultured bacterium. RNAcentral describes it as "partial 16S ribosomal RNA". It matches the Rfam family "Bacterial small subunit ribosomal RNA", at positions 28 to 507 of the family's 1533-position model. The record is from RNAcentral.
GAUGAACGCUAGCGGCAGGCCUAAUACAUGCAAGUCGAACGGGAUCCAGAUCAAAGCUUGCUUUGGUUUGGUGAGAGUGGCGCACGGGUGCGUAACGCGUGAGCAACCUACCCUUGUCAGGGGGAUAGCCCGGCGAAAGUCGGAUUAAUACCGCAUGACAUCAUUGAGAGGCAUCUUUCGAUGAUCAAAGAUUUAUCGGACAAGGAUGGGCUCGCGUGACAUUAGCUAGUUGGUAAGGUAACGGCUUACCAAGGCUACGAUGUCUAGGGGCUCUGAGAGGAGAAUCCCCCACACUGGUACUGAGACACGGACCAGACUCCUACGGGAGGCAGCAGUAAGGAAUAUUGGUCAAUGGACGGAAGUCUGAACCAGCCAUGCCGCGUGCAGGAAGACGGCCCUAUGGGUUGUAAACUGCUUUUAUACGGGAACAAACGUCGGUACGUGUACCGGUCUGAGUGUACCGGAAGAAUAAGGAUCGGCUAACUCCGUG